CCGUCUUGGAUAUGAGUAAAGCAUUUAGAAGCGUGUUCAUUGUAGCUCUGAAAGGACUAUGCUAUGUGGUCCAGACUCUCGGCACUGCAGCUCUCCAUGGCAGAAAACAACCAACAGCAUAACGGAGAAUUGUCCGUCCGUCCGUCUCGGUGAUGUCUUACCGACAUGGAAAUACUUCCUACACGAGAAACUGAACUUGCCCAUUGAAAAUAUGAAAGCGGUCGACCACUACAAAGACAUUAGGAAAACUUAUGAUGAUUUCUUGAAGAAUAGUAAUACAUUAGAUCUGAUUGAUGUUUAUAAAAAAUGUAGCAUCUUGACUUCUAAUUGUGAGAAUAACAUGAUAUCCUCUGUAAGUAUUCUAAGAAUAAUUCUACUUUAAUCAAAUUAAAGUUCAGCUAAAAUACUUUUAUUUUAAGUCAUAGAAUUACUAGUCUUAAAAAUAUAAUGGGAGGCAGAGAAUAAAAAAGUUUUUUUGCUUUUUAAAUCAUGUUAAAAAUGGAAAAUUUAGCUACCCAAAGCCUAGUUUUUACUUGAAAGAAAUAUUUUUGAUAAGUUUUGUUGGUCUUGUGAUAUUAUUAUUUGCCUAAUUUUUACUUGAAAGACAUUUUUGAUAAGUUUUGUUGGGCGCGUGAUAUUUUUAUUUGAUAUAAGAAUAUUUUUCUUAAUAGAAAAAAAAUUGGCAAGGAAAUAGAUUUCAAAUGUCAGAUUUCUUU
This 716-nucleotide long non-coding RNA is filed under the name Rattus norvegicus (Norway rat). Its description in RNAcentral is "long non-coding RNA NONRATT024393". The record is from RNAcentral. Lineage: Eukaryota; Metazoa; Chordata; Mammalia; Rodentia; Muridae.